AGAUGCUGCUCCCUCUGCUUCUUUAAUGCAUGGCUGGAUCAAAUGGAUUAUAUGCUGAAGGAUCUCUAGAGUGGUGAGCUGUGAAGAAAAUGUCUUUAACAUGACUGUCAGAAGGCAGGGUAAAAGAUGAGCCCAGUUUUACUGAAAUGAGCUGAGCUCACUUGUUGACUUGAGCUGUCCUGAUGAGUGCUCUGGGCUUUGGUACCAUCCAGCAGAAGUUGGGUUCUCAAAGACUAAAAGCCUGUAAUGAUCCAGACCCUGAUGCCCCUACAGUCCAAACCAGCGAGGAAGUUUCUGAUGAUGACUGCAGAGUUGGAAAAUGGAUGCAAGUUGGUGUUUGUUUUUGCAGCAAGGCAGAAGCUGGAAGUAACCUCUGGCAGUCAUCUGGUGCCACCCACCCCUCCUCAAGCUGGACCACCAUGAGCUACCCAGGACCAUCUUCAGAGGUUUGAGUACCUCCAAUGCUGGAGACUCCACAGCUCUCUCUAGGCAACCUGUGCCAGUGCUCAAAUCAGCUUGACAUCAAUGAAGUGUUCCCUGCUUUUCAGAGGGAGCCUUCUGUGUUUCAGGGUGUGCCCACUGCUCCAGUGCUGGGCACCACAGGACAGAGCCUGGCUCCAUCCUCUUUGCACUGCCCACUGGGUGUUUAAGUGCUUUGAUGAGAUCCUGCCCAAGCCUUCCCUUCUCUGCAUUGUCCUUCCAGGAGGUAUCAGGGUGGCUGAAGUCCCCUAUGAAGACCAGGGCCUGAGACUCAAAACCUGGGUUUAGACACAGGUACUGAUGAUGUCCUCCAGACUCUGUGGAACAGGUAUACAUCCAUCUGGUGUUCUUGUCAACCACAGCUCUUCAGAACUGAGCACAAUAAGAAUGACAACUUUAGGGAGAAUAGCUGCCACUCCUCUACUUCUUUCUGUAGUUCUUUUUACUUACUAUACACUGGUUAUUUGUUGGUUUCUAAUUCCGCUUAUUUGUUGUAAUUUUCCCUGUGCAGGAGGGAUGAGGAGGACCAGAAUUUCAUCACCAUCUUCUCAUUUUGCAUCACACUUCAGUAUCUUAUAAUCAAACUGCUUUUCAUCCUGUAUGGGCUCUUGCCUACUUCAGAAAGAGAACUCAAACGUCAUGGAAGGACUCCUACACUGCAUUAUCAAGGUUCCUGUGCUACUUUUAAAUUUCAGCACCAACACAGCCAGUUGUCUCACAGAUUGUCUCUAUGUUCUAUAACUAAUUAAGCAAAUUGUGUAGUAGCGAUUACAAUCAGGAUAACUGAUAGUCUUGACAGGAGAGAUGCAGGGGUCAGGAAUGAGAAGGGUAAAAGUAGUUGAAUUUUAUAUUCCAGUACCAUUACUCCUAACUCUAAUAGCCAUUGACUAGACUCUGGUACCCAAACAGGAGAUUUGCCUUCAUCCCCGAAGGAGGAAAAACCAGGAAACUUUUAUAUUUAAAAAAACCACCCAAAACAGCCCUAUGAAAGUUCUCUUUGCAGUCAUUUAGAAAGAUUCUGUUUCUAAGCUCUUGCAUUACAUGUGGGUUUAACAAUUUGUGCUGCUCCAAAAUGCUCCAGAUUCAUGCUGGAAUUAACACAGAAGAGCCAUUUUGAAGUACCACUACUUCUGGGAGGCUGUGACCCUGAACCUGGAGUCUCUUCUGUGAAGAAAAGCCUUGAAAACACUCAUUCAAAAAUGUCUUUAGUCAGUUUUUAUGAUCUCUCAGGUUUUCUUAUGAGAGGUCUAUAACCUUCCUGUCUUUAUUAUGGCUUUGCAGAGACUGAACUAGACUUGACUGUAACCUUCACACACAGCAAAAGAUAUUUACUGAUCCAUACUGAGAAGAAGGGGACAGUAUUUUCCUGAAGAAACAAUAUUCCUGUAGUCCAAUGUACGGACAAAAGAUGUGUACUAUUUAUGCAUGAGAACAUAAUUUGUUAAUAGUGUCAAGUUAGUUACUGACAGUGCACAGGAAGCAGCCUGAAUGACUUUUUCCAGUCAGGCAGGAAUUUAAACAGUCAAUAAAUUAUUCACAUUUUGUCAUGCAAACUGUGGGCAGCGUAACAGCCUGACAGCAACACAAAAAAAAAAUGAAUGAAGUAGAAUUAUUUUUUCAGUUGAAUUGCCUGUAUCUUCAACUGACUUAAUUUUAAAUGUCUUCACUGUAGCAGUUCUUUCAUGUUUAAAGAAAGCAUAACUAAUUCCCCAGCUGUUACAU
This is a long non-coding RNA of Parus major (Great Tit), 2202 nucleotides long. RefSeq lists it as uncharacterized. NCBI's taxonomy places the organism in Eukaryota, Metazoa, Chordata, Aves, Passeriformes, Paridae. The record is from RefSeq and is a predicted model, not a curated record. The transcript is spliced from 3 exons.